RNAcentral lists this ribosomal RNA (247 nucleotides) under uncultured bacterium. RNAcentral describes it as "partial small subunit ribosomal RNA". It matches the Rfam family "Bacterial small subunit ribosomal RNA", at positions 26 to 285 of the family's 1533-position model. The record is from RNAcentral.
AGAAUCAACGCUGGCGGCGUGCCUAACACAUGCAAGUCGAACGAGAAAGUGGGAGCAAUCCCACGAGUAAAGAGGCGCACGGGUGAGUAACACGUGACUAACCUACCCUCGAGUGGGGAAUAACCUGGGGAAACCCGGGCUAAUACCGCAUAAUACCCACGGGUCAAAGGAGCAAUUCGCUUGAGGAGGGGGUCGCGGCAGAUUAGUUAGUUGGCGGGGUAAUGGCCCACCAAGACGAUGAUCUGUA